CCUACGGGAGGCAGCAGUGAGGAAUAUUGGUCAAUGGACGAGAGUCUGAACCAGCCAAGCAGCGUGAAGGAUGACUGUACUAUGGGUUGUAAACCUCUUUUAUAAAGGAAUAAAACGAGGCACGUGUGCCUUUUUGCAUGUACUUUAUGAAUAAGGAUCGGCUAACUCCGUGCCAGCAGCCGCGGUAAUACGGAGGAUCCGAGCGUUAUCCGGAUUUAUUGGGUUUAAAGGGAGCGUAGAUGGGUUGUUAAGUCAGUUGUGAAAGUUUGCGGCUCAACCGUAAAAUGGCAAUUGAUACUGGCAGUCUUGAGUUCGGUUGAGGUAGGCGGAAUUCGUGGUGUAGCGGUGAAAUGCUUAGAUAUCGCGAAGAACCCCGAUUGCGAAGGCAGCUUACUAGACUGUGACUGACAUUGAUGCUCGAAAGUGUGGGUAUCGAACAGGAUUAGAUACCCUGGUAGUC
Molecule: ribosomal RNA, 460 nt
Filed under: uncultured bacterium
Lineage: Bacteria
Description: partial 16S ribosomal RNA
Rfam family: Bacterial small subunit ribosomal RNA
Source: RNAcentral